GCUGUUCCGCAGUCACAGUUCUUUGAUCUGAAAGCUGCUAUGCUUUUGAGAGGAGAGGUUAAUUGCAUGGAGGUCGCUGCCGCUGGAAAUGUAGCCCAAGCAAGAACCACUGCUACCCAAGAAAAUGUCCUAGAAUGGGUCAAAAAAGACAAGCGAAGGAUGCUCCAUGUUUUACCACGUUGGAGACCUGGACAAAACCAUAAAAUUCUACAGAGUGCUUGGAGAUGAAACUGCUUUGAAAACGUGACAUACCAGACGAGAGAUACACAAAUGCAUUUCUUGGAUAUGGGCCCAGAGAUUUUCACUUUGUCACUGAAAAAAAUAAAAUCAUGGAGUUAAAAAUUAUGAUAUCGGAACUGGAUUUGGCCAUUUUGGCAUUGCUGACGAAGAUGUUGCCAAGUCUGUCAAACUCCUAAGGUCAAGGGUGGUAAAGGCACCCAAGAACCUGGUCCCAUCAAAGGUGGUAGUACAGUGAUUGCAUUUGUUGAGGACUUUGAUGGCAACAAGUUUGAACUUUUUCCUGAACCAUUGUGUCAUAUAAUGCUUCAUGUUGA
Juglans microcarpa x Juglans regia is the source of this 554-nucleotide long non-coding RNA. RefSeq lists it as uncharacterized. The transcript has 4 exons. The record is from RefSeq and is a predicted model, not a curated record. NCBI's taxonomy places the organism in Eukaryota, Viridiplantae, Streptophyta, Magnoliopsida, Fagales, Juglandaceae.